UCGGCGGUGAACCGCGCGCCCCCCCGGGCGCCGGUUCCUCCACGCCGCCGGAGGCCCCCCAAACUGUGUCUCAGCUGUGGCAUUAUCUGAGUAGCGAAAGCAAAACAAAUGAAUCAAAACUUUCAACAACGGAUCUCUUGGUUCUGGCAUCGAUGAAGAACGCAGCGAAAUGCGAUAAGUAAUGUGAAUUGCAGAAUUCAGUGAACCAUCGAAUCUUUGAACGCACAUUGCGCCCGCCAGUACUCUGGCGGGCAUGCCUGUCCGAGCGUCAUUUCAACCCUCGAGCCCCAGCGGCCCGGUGUUGGGGAUCGGCCCCGCCCCCGUGGCGGCCGGCCGUCCCCUAAAUAGAGUGGCGGUCACGCCGUAGCAUCCCCUGUUUUUUAGCAAUAUCUCGCAGCCGGAGCGCGGCGCGGCC
RNAcentral lists this unclassified non-coding RNA (415 nucleotides) under Ascomycota sp. OTU_013. RNAcentral's name for it is "sequence contains ITS1, 5.8S rRNA gene and ITS2". The stretch from base 118 to 271 matches the Rfam family "5.8S ribosomal RNA". Lineage: Eukaryota; Fungi; Ascomycota. The record is from RNAcentral.